RNAcentral lists this transfer RNA (64 nucleotides) under Creobroter sp. JZ-2017. RNAcentral describes it as "tRNA-His". The record is from RNAcentral. Lineage: Eukaryota; Metazoa; Arthropoda; Insecta; Mantodea; Hymenopodidae.
AUUUAAGUAGUUUAAAGAAAAUUAUGAUUUGUGGUAUCAUAGAUGUAAAUAUUUACCUUAAAUU